AAACAACGGUUGUCGGAUUACUGGGCGUAAGCGCAUGCAAGGCGGAUCGCUAAGUCGGGGGUGAAAGCCCCCAGGCUCAACCUCGGAAUUGCCUUCGAUACUGGCGAUCUCGAGUCCGGGAGAGGUGAGUGGA
RNAcentral lists this ribosomal RNA (133 nucleotides) under uncultured bacterium. RNAcentral describes it as "partial 16S ribosomal RNA". The stretch from base 15 to 133 matches the Rfam family "Bacterial small subunit ribosomal RNA", at positions 548 to 665 of the family's 1533-position model. The record is from RNAcentral.